This 87-nucleotide ribosomal RNA is filed under the name Nonomuraea rubra. The record is from RNAcentral. Lineage: Bacteria; Bacillati; Actinomycetota; Actinomycetes; Streptosporangiales; Streptosporangiaceae. RNAcentral also lists the same sequence under 19 other names.
GGUUACAUUCCGAACCCGGAAGUUAAGCUUCUCUGCGCCGAUGGUACUGCACUCGGGAGGGUGUGGGAGAGUAGGUCACCGCCGGAC